UGAGUGCUGGUAAUAAGGCACGGGCAGCCAC
This 31-nucleotide non-coding RNA is filed under the name Mus musculus (house mouse). Lineage: Eukaryota; Metazoa; Chordata; Mammalia; Rodentia; Muridae. The record is from RNAcentral.